This is a long non-coding RNA of Temnothorax curvispinosus, 3531 nucleotides long. RefSeq lists it as uncharacterized. The record is from RefSeq and is a predicted model, not a curated record. The transcript is spliced from 3 exons. NCBI's taxonomy places the organism in Eukaryota, Metazoa, Arthropoda, Insecta, Hymenoptera, Formicidae.
CUCCGCGCCAAGCUAAACGUUUAUCGGCAAAGUGGUGAUACUUUCUACUACCUGUUCUUCGUGUUUUCGGCGCUGUCGGAUCGCCCGGUAUAUACGCGAUUCCCUCCGCCAUUUCCCUUUUCCUGUCCUACCGUAUUUUAGCGGAUAGGGUAAGUCCCCCACCACCCACCCUUCCCGCGCCUGUCCACCGUAUUUCUUGGCGGGAAGGGACCUUGUCCUCCUCGCCGACCGGUACGCUUCUCCUCUAUCCCUCUCGUCUCAUCCGCUAUCGCACCGUUGCACUGGCGCCGAAUUUUCUUUCCUUCCUAUCGUCCGUUCGAUGUUAAAAGAAGGGUACGUCUCCUUGUACGCGUCAAACGGACCAAGUCGAAUAUAUAAAUCUGCACUUUAUACGCAGUCGUCGAGAUACUCGUAAUCGGAGAAAAAUGAAGAAACAAAGAAACAGAAAAAGGAGGAGAAUGGAGACGGAGAGGUAGAAGAAGAAGAGAUUGAGGAAGAAAUCGAAGAGGAAGAGGAAGUAGACGGUGACGGAGAGGAGGAUGACGAUGAUGAUGACAUACCUGAGGGUGAAGAAGAUUUAGAAGAAGGAGAAGAUGAAGAGGAUGACGACGCGGAAGGUGAGGUAGAAGGUGAGGUGGAAGACGAUGAAGAUGACGCAUAAUGAAAAAAGGGAAAACAUUAUGCAAUUAAGAAGGGAGGCGUUAGGCACGUGACGACAUCGUGGUCGAUUUUCGGCAAACUCAGCAAACUUACUCUCAUAUUGAGUGGUUGGUAACAAUGUUGAUAUCCAUCGUGCCCAAUCCGUAUUGGACCCUCUCUAUCUUCCGAUCGACAAGUAAAAAUUACCACCUCACCGGAAUUGUGGUGGGCCGACUACUUGUGAGUAGUUCUCUACUUGUCUUGGCUCUUCGCAAUUCUGGUCGUUUAGCCGUCACCAAAUGCUAUUAGGUAGUUUGAAUGAUAACUGUAUAUUCGUCCUGAGGAUUCGAUGAGUUGAUUUUAUCUGCUGUCUAGAUUCUUAUUUCGAUCGAUCGAUCGAUCGAUUGAUCGGUCCAUUCGGUACACGUGCACGAUUUCCCAAGACGAAUCUAUCGUUUUAUCCGAACCACCUACUAACUGGUAUUUGCCGUCAUCUGGCUUUCUUCGUCGGGACAGACAAUUUUAUAACAAGAUUACUUAUUUAAGAUAAAAAAAAAACUAUUAUAUAUUUAAAUAGUGUAAAAUGAAUAUUCGAAGAUGAUUUUUUUACAUUAAAAAUCAAAUUUACGUUUGUAGUUCGACGAAUGUCUCUCACCUUGUGUGUGUGAUAUAUUGAGUUCUUCUUCUCGAAUCGAAAUGUGUAAUUGCAGUGUCUUCACAGGAGCGCGAGGCUAUCGAGCAGAAUUGAGCGAUUAAUACGUAACAUAUACGGCAAAUAAAAUAAAUAGGCAUGAAUGGACAUCUCUCGGCAUUCAAUGUAUACUAAAAUGAGGAAAUCUUAAAAAAAAAAAAGAAAAAUAGACGUAACGCCGCUUCGUGCUCCUGUUUGGUAUAGAGACAGGAAUUAAGAUUAAAUGCAACGCUCGCGUCAAGUAGUAUGGAUGAAUAAUAUGUGACUUUAAUAUUGCAUAAUAAUUAUACAUAGUAUGUAUAAAGUUAUGGGAUAAGAAACAUUUUAUUAUUAACGAUAAUAUUAUAUAAACGUAAUAUAAUGCGGAGAGGUUGUUACACUUUAGGCUUGGGCAUAGAUAAGGGAGAGCAUCGAACAGUCAGUCAACUUUGUAAAGUGUAAGGGCCCCGUCACUCUUCUCUAUUCAUUUCAACCAAUUAUAUCAUUUUUUAUAGAAGAUAAGAGUUUCAAUUAUACACAUAGAUAAAUCUAUAUAUAUUUAUAACUCUCCAGAACUGCCGUACAUGACGCGAAAUUAUAAAAAGAAAAGAGAAUCCGGACUACAUAUUGUGAUUAUGUAAUAAGUACUCUCCCUAUUUUCGAAUGUUCUCAUUUGAGUGUAAUUCGAGCGUUUCAGUUACUUUUAUCUAUUACGAUUUUAUCUCGACUUUAUUGUGGGCUAUUUUGGCAAUGAUUCGUGGACUGUUGUAAAAUGAGUCAGCGGUAUUUAUUUAUUCUCGUAUAUAAUUUGUCCGUAUAUAAUUUAUAUAUAGUCCACGUUUCGAUAUCUUAAUAAUGACAUAUACACCAGAUUUGCUAAUGGUGUCUAAAAAUUUUUAAUAGUGUUGAUACUGAUGAUAAUGUUGAUUUGCUGAUUCGAUAACUCCGAUUCGAAACAAGAAGAUCGCUCUUUGUGCAAAAGUCGGUGAAUCAUUGCGAUUGGCAUGUCCAUGCCGCUACUUAUUUUCGGGAGACUGUUAGAUAAAAGGGUGAAGAGACAUUGCGGUUAUACCAUUGUACCAUAGCAUAAUAAUUAAAUAAAGGUAACGAUAAUUUGAAUGCGAGAAGAUGUCCCACGUUUUAAUGUACAAAUAUUUUCGAAUGAGAAUAGUUAAAUAAAACGCAGUUAGAUCAGAGAAAAUGAAUUCGUUCUCAUAAGUAGUGAUGAGUUUAAUAUCUGAAAAACUAUGAGGAGACGAGCGGUGUAAAUGCUGCUCUGAUACCACACGGACUAAAAAUCCUGCUGUAUGGAAACCAAGGAGAUGGAGGUUGGAUCGUGUAACGUUGAUACUUACAAAAAAAAUCUCUUACCAUCGGCAGAUUCGAUGGUGCGAAAGAAGAAAAUUCGCGAAUACUCCUCAUCAUAAGUGUAUGUAACGCGUCCAACAAAGCCGAUCGAUGUCAAUGUGAUGCGUACAGAUCAUACCAUCUCCGGCAGUCUCUGUUAAUCUACGGUUUUAUACGCAAUCUGCUGCUGUAUUUACACGUGUUUGCUUCAAGAUAGUAACUUGACGAUGACAAAUUGGCAAAGGACUAUCUUUAAGUACAGGUGCCUGAGCAAAAUCAGUACUUUAGCGUUCAUAGUAUAUACUAUACUAUACAUACUAUAAGCAUAGACCCAUUUAAUUUUAUUAAAUAAAACGCCAAGCCCCGUUGGCAACACACGCAUCCUGAACAAAACAAAAUAAAAAAAAGAAAAAGACUUGCGUUUUGUACUGUGUCAAGCCCGGCAGAGUACGGUACUCUUCUUCGCGCUCGAGUACUCGACGCGAUUCGCGAAAUUCACUUACUGGUGCUAACGGGUCUUACAAUCAAUCAGGCUGAUCGCCCACGUAUACCGUUACACCCCUACGUUUGUUAGGUAAGCAUGGAAAGAAAAAGUUCAACAGACAUCAAAUCUGGUAAAUGACACACACGUGUGUGUGAGUGUGUGUGCGCGUGUGUGUGUGUCACACGAUUUAACGUAAACGAAAAUCCUAGGCUAAGAAUUUGGUUUGUGUGUUCAUAAGUCUUGUUCAAGCUACUUUUGUACAGGAUACCAUUGCAUCAUCUCUUUCAACGUAUAACAAGUAACCGACACACCACAGACUAUAUAUUUCUGCCCAUUCCAUCAGAACUGAAACUUUCAUUGUAUUUUUAAGUAAAUACAUUUUGGAAAACAA